CCCCUAGAUGUUCUGGGCCGCACGCGCGCUACACUGAACAGUUCAACAAGUCUUAACCUUGGCCGAUAGGUCUGGGUAAUCUUUGAACGCUGUUCGUGAUUGGGAUAGACCUUUGCAAUUAUGGGUCUUCAACGAGGAAUUCCUAGUAAACGCAAGUCAUCAGCUUGCAUUGAUUACGUCCCUGCCCUUUGUACACACCGCCCGUCGCACCUACCGAUUGAAUGGUCCGGUGAAAUCUCGGGACGGCGGCUUGGUCGCUUGCGUCCGACUUCUGAAACUUGAUUAAACCAUAUCAUUUAGAGGAAGGUGAAGUCGUAACA
This 320-nucleotide ribosomal RNA is filed under the name uncultured eukaryote. RNAcentral describes it as "partial 18S ribosomal RNA". It matches the Rfam family "Eukaryotic small subunit ribosomal RNA", at positions 1470 to 1796 of the family's 1831-position model. The record is from RNAcentral.